This 233-nucleotide ribosomal RNA is filed under the name uncultured bacterium. RNAcentral describes it as "partial 16S ribosomal RNA". It matches the Rfam family "Bacterial small subunit ribosomal RNA", at positions 794 to 1023 of the family's 1533-position model. The record is from RNAcentral.
UCCACGCUGUAAACGAUGAGGGCUACUCGUUUGGUUCGUUGACGAACUGAGUGGGACAGCUAACGCGCUAAGCCCUCCGCCUGGGGAGUACGGUCGCAAGAUUAAAACUCAAAGGAAUUGACGGGGGCCCGCACAAGCGGUGGAGCAUGUGGUUUAAUUCGAUGCAACGCGAAAAACCUUACCUGGGCUUGACAUCCCUCUGAUCGCUUUUAGAGAUAAGAGCUUCUCUUCGG